RNAcentral lists this ribosomal RNA (497 nucleotides) under uncultured bacterium. RNAcentral's name for it is "partial 16S ribosomal RNA". It matches the Rfam family "Bacterial small subunit ribosomal RNA", at positions 28 to 507 of the family's 1533-position model. The record is from RNAcentral.
GAUGAACGCUGGCGGCGUGCCUAAUACAUGCAAGUCAAGCGAACAGACGAGGAGCUUGCUCCUCUGACGUUAGCGGCGGACGGGUGAGUAACACGUGGAUAACCUACCUAUAAGCCUGGGAUAACUUCGGGAAACCGGAGCUAAUACCGGAUAAUAUAUUUAACCGCAUGGUUCAAUAGUGAAAGACGGUUUUGCUGUCACUUAUAGAUGUAUCCGCGCCGCCUUAGCGAGUUGGUAAGGUAACGGCUUACCAAGGCAACGAUGCGUAGCCGACCUGAGAGGGUGAUCGGCCACACUGGAACUGAGACACGGUCCAGACUCCUACGGGAGGCAGCAGUAGGGAAUCUUCCGCAAUGGGCGAAAGCCUGACGGAGCAACGCCGCGUGAGUGAUGAAGGUCUUCGGAUCGUAAAACUCUGUUAUUAGGGAAGAACAAAUGUGUAAGUAACUAUGCACGUCUUGACGGUACCUAAUCAGAAAGCCACGGCUAACUACGUG